CCUGGGGAGUACGGCCGCAAGGUUAAAACUCAAAUGAAUUGACGGGGGCCCGCACAAGCGGUGGAGCAUGUGGUUUAAUUCGAUGCAACGCGAAGAACCUUACCUGGUCUUGACAUCCACAGAACUUAGCAGAGAUGCUUUGGUGCCUUCGGGAACUGUGAGACAGGUGCUGCAUGGCUGUCGUCAGCUCGUGUUGUGAAAUGUUGGGUUAAGUCCCGCAACGAGCGCAACCCUUAUCCUUUGUUGCCAGCGGUU
This 255-nucleotide ribosomal RNA is filed under the name Klebsiella pneumoniae. RNAcentral describes it as "partial 16S ribosomal RNA". It matches the Rfam family "Bacterial small subunit ribosomal RNA", at positions 872 to 1126 of the family's 1533-position model. The record is from RNAcentral. Lineage: Bacteria; Pseudomonadati; Pseudomonadota; Gammaproteobacteria; Enterobacterales; Enterobacteriaceae. RNAcentral also lists the same sequence under 3 other names.